GUAGGGAAUAUUGGGCAAUGGAGGCAACUCUGACCCAGCCAUGCCGCGUGCAGGAUGACGGCCCUCUGGGUUGUAAACUGCUUUUAUACGGGAAGAAAAAAUACUACGUGUAGUAUACUGACGGUACCGUAAGAAUAAGGAUCGGCUAACUCCGUGCCAGCAGCCGCGGUAAUACGGAGGAUCCAAGCGUUGUCCGGAUUUAUUGGGUUUAAAGGGUGCGUAGGCGGAUCUUUAAGUCAGUGGUGAAAGCCUGCAGCUUAACUGUAGAAUUGCCAUGGAAACUGAAGAUCUUGAAUGUGGUUAAAGUAGGCGGAAUGUAUCAUGUAGCGGUGAAAUGCUUAGAUAUGAUACAGAACACCGAUAGCGAAGGCAGCUUGCUGAACCAUUAUUGACGCUGAGGCACGAAAGCGUGGGGAGCGAACAGGAUUAGAAACCCGAGUAGUCC
RNAcentral lists this ribosomal RNA (445 nucleotides) under uncultured bacterium. RNAcentral describes it as "partial 16S ribosomal RNA". It matches the Rfam family "Bacterial small subunit ribosomal RNA", at positions 354 to 796 of the family's 1533-position model. The record is from RNAcentral.